RNAcentral lists this ribosomal RNA (183 nucleotides) under Klebsiella aerogenes. RNAcentral describes it as "partial 16S ribosomal RNA". It matches the Rfam family "Bacterial small subunit ribosomal RNA", at positions 1 to 179 of the family's 1533-position model. The record is from RNAcentral. Lineage: Bacteria; Pseudomonadati; Pseudomonadota; Gammaproteobacteria; Enterobacterales; Enterobacteriaceae. RNAcentral also lists the same sequence under 1 other name.
AAAUUGAAGAGUUUGAUCAUGGCUCAGAUUGAACGCUGGCGGCAGGCCUAACACAUGCAAGUCGAGCGGUAGCACAGAGAGCUUGCUCUCGGGUGACGAGCGGCGGACGGGUGAGUAAUGUCUGGGAAACUGCCUGAUGGAGGGGGAUAACUACUGGAAACGGUAGCUAAUACCGCAUAACGU